CCGCUGUCCGAGGGGUGCCCCGUCAACCGGGGCUGAGAUGGCAUGUCGCCGAACCCUUUGAACCUGAUCCGGGUCAUGCCGGCGAAGGAACGGG
RNAcentral lists this non-coding RNA (94 nucleotides) under uncultured Pleomorphomonas sp. RNAcentral describes it as "TPP". It matches the Rfam family "TPP riboswitch aptamer (THI element)", at positions 1 to 92 of the family's 105-position model. Rfam says of the family: Vitamin B(1) in its active form thiamin pyrophosphate (TPP) is an essential coenzyme that is synthesised by coupling of pyrimidine and thiazole moieties in bacteria. The previously detected thiamin-regulatory element, thi box was extended, resulting in a new, highly conserved RNA secondary structure, the THI element, which is widely distributed in eubacteria and also occurs in some archaea. The record is from RNAcentral. Lineage: Bacteria; Pseudomonadati; Pseudomonadota; Alphaproteobacteria; Hyphomicrobiales; Pleomorphomonadaceae.